UUCUCUGUCGGUUCAUUGUAAAACCUGUCUCUGUAGUUUUCUCUGUGGCUCUUGUUCCUUCUGUGUGAAUUUGAGAUUUUUGUGUUUUGGACAUUACAAUUUGUGCCAGAUUUUCUCCAACCAGUCUCUCUGUUUUGGCUGGCAGAUGGGUCCUGUCGUGUGGCCGCCUGAAGGAUGGCAUACCACAUCGCUCUCCCCUCAAAGGUCAAGACCACCGCUGUUCCCUGAAAGAUCGGCACACAAUAAAGUCGAGUGGAUUUGUCCAAACACUCACCAGCACUUGACAGAGGCAUCGAUUGGUUAAUGCUAAUCCCGACUCUCUGCUGAUGAGAGUCGCCAUCGACCUGUGACAGAGGUCGGAGUUUUGGUCGACUGCAGAGAGAACGUGAUGUCAGAGAGGCCGAGAAUCAGAGAGUCCACCGUGUUAUCUGUGAGACAAUCAGAAUUUAAGUCGGAGAGUGACACUCUGAGGAAGAGUCUAUCAAAACAAAGAUCGUGUUGUGAGUCACCAAGGUGGAUCUUUGUUGUGUCUCACUGGAGCAUGCUACAGGCAAAGAAUAACGAAGGCCACAAUAGAGAAAUGACGAAAGCAGUAAUUAGAAUCAGUGCGCCCUGAAAUCCUAAUGCAAUUACAUGGAGUUUGUUUCUGCACAAAACAACAAGAGGAUUAAAGUUUAAAUGACUCAUUUGCAAAGACAAGCAAUAAAACCGUCUCCAGCCAUGUUAUCCGGGAUUGAGGGCAUAUAAUGCAGACUUUGUCAUGCAUUAUUAAUGAGUGUUAUAUUAAAAGUAAUAUAUGCAAGCUUCCUGCGUCUCCUAUUACAGAGGGGAAGCGGAGCUAGUGAUUAAAAACUUCAUCUGAGUGACGCAUCAUGGGUUUGUGCAAAGACCGAACCAAAACAUACUAGAACAGAAUAUUUUAAGCAAUUUGACAAAAACUUUGACUUUAUUAAUUUCAUGGACUUAUGUCAAUAUCUAA
Long non-coding RNA from Notolabrus celidotus (New Zealand spotty), 979 nucleotides. RefSeq lists it as uncharacterized. The transcript is spliced from 4 exons. Lineage: Eukaryota; Metazoa; Chordata; Actinopteri; Labriformes; Labridae. The record is from RefSeq and is a predicted model, not a curated record.